GGAGUUAGCCGGUGCUUCUUCUGCGAGUAACGUCACAGAUGUAAGGUAUUAACUUACACCCUUUCCUCCUCGCUGAAAGUGCUUUACAACCCGAAGGCCUUCUUCACACACGCGGCAUGGCUGCAUCAGGGUUUCCCCCAUUGUGCAAUAUUCCCCACUGCUGCCUCCCGUAGGAGUCUGGGCCGUGUCUCAGUACCAGUGUGGCUGAUCAUCCUCUCAGACCAGCUAGGGAUCGUCGCCUAGGUGAGCCUUUACCUCACCUACUAGCUAAUCCCACCUGGGCUUAUCCAUCAGCGCAAGGCCCGAAGGUCCCCUGCUUUCCCCCGUAGGGCGUAUGCGGUAUUAGCAGUCGUUUCCAACUGUUAUCCCCCACAAAUGGGCAAAUUCCCAGGCAUUACUCACCCGUCCGCCGCUCGUCAUCUUCAAAAGCAAGCUUUUGAAAUGUUACCGCUCGACUUGCAUGUGUUAGGCCUGCCGCCAGCGUUCAAUCUGAGCCAGAAUCAAACUCUGA
Molecule: ribosomal RNA, 511 nt
Filed under: uncultured bacterium
Lineage: Bacteria
Description: partial 16S ribosomal RNA
Source: RNAcentral